CAAAUUUUUUGUCAAAUUUGUCAAUCAAUUGGCAUUUUAUACCUCCGAGCGCACCGAACUUUGGCGGUCUAUGGGAAGGUGCUGUAAAAUCGGCAAAAUACCAUUUAAAGCGAGUAGUCGGGGAGACGCGUCUUACUUACGAAGAAUUUUACACAAUACUUACUCAAAUUGAAGCAUGUUUAAAUGCCAGGCCUCUUACCCCUUUAUCCAACGAUCCCAACGACCUUACUCCUCUCACUCCCGGACACUUCCUAAUCGGAGACUCUUUAAUAGCACCUGUACAAGAAGAUCUGCGUGAUGUGAACGAAAAUCGAUUAAACAGGUAUCGGCACGUACAACAAAUGUACCAGCACUUUUGAGAGAGAAGGACGCAAGAGUAUCUCUCACAACUGCAAUGCAUGCCAAGGAAAAAGGGUGAUCGUAACACACGCAUGAUUAAACCAGGGAUGCUGGUUAUGAUAAAAGAAAACAACGUUCCACCUCUACGGUGGGCACUUGGUCGAAUCACACAGUUGCAUCCUGGUAAGGAUGGUAUGACCAGGGUCGUAUCAAUUCAAGUAACAAAUGGAGAAAUCAAGAGGCCAGUAUAAAAAAUUUGCAUAUUGCCAAUUGAUUAUAAGGACGAUUCAAGCAGCACCAUGGAUAAUUCUUCAGCCCAGCAACAAUAAACGUAGAUGGGUGCUGCGCAGCCUCGGUCACCUCGACCUCUGGAGUGCCUGGGCUUGCUGGAGAUAGAAGGAGGUGGCUGCAAGGCUAAAGUUACCAAGGAGACGAGGGGCAAGAGGGGCCGAGACGAUGGGGGUAGGUAAAUUGUAGAACUGUUUCGCAAGAUCAUCCAGGUUGCGCAGCAUCUUCCGAAGGCAGAAAAUAAAUUAUAGUAAUAUAAGACAAAACCAGUUACUCGAUUAUGGGUAUCACAAAAUAAUUUCCGAAAUCUUCGUAUUUCUGACAAUUAUUUCGGUAGAAAUCUCUGGAUUCUGCUCAUUCUUAUAUCUUUCAUUACAUGUCAAAUUAAUAUUGUAUAAUUCGAUCUGUAGCUCAUUCUUGAAAUCAGUGAAGUACUUCAGAAACAGAAGUAAUGCUCUUGAACUUGGAAAUUGUCCCAAUUAGACGUAGUCAUAUUGUUUUAUGCAUAUUAAAGAAUGAUUUGUCACAAAGAAAUUAAUUUCUGCUUUUUUUAAAUUCUUUUACAUAUUACAUGAAGUUACACAAUUUUGUAAGCCAUAUCGUGUGAUAUUAAUUUGUCGUUCAAUUAUAUGUAGGUGUAACCUGUUAUUUCUUUAUAUGCAUUUGAAACUGUAGAGAAACACAUUUUACUUGAAUAGCGAGUUUGUAAACCCAUGAUAACAUAACUAGGCGCUCUCUGUACCGGCAUUCCCAUCUGCCAACAUCGUAGUCCCGGCGUACUCCGUCACGAUAACGCUUUCGUCCAUUUCGCCGAUUAUCACCUGACCGAGACGGACGGACAGUUUUUCAUGAACAAAUGUAUGUCUGAUACUAUGUCAGAUGGUCUUAUUCCUAAGAUUUUAUUAGUAUAUCUUUUCUUUUAUUGAAUUUUCAAAUUAGCAAAUAGGGACGAGGACCUAAAAACGGAGUCCAUUCUUUCGUAUAUCUUUUCGGGACCAAACAUUUGAAAUCAGGACCCAAAUCAGCGGUGUGCGGAUAACUCCAACUGACCCCUGGAUGUUUAUCCUGCAAUAUGAGAAGCCGUAUUCACCGCAUGGGUUGCCACGUUUUGUCGCAUUCUACGCAAAACUGGCGUUUGUAUUAUAAUCGAUUCAGAUGCAAUCAUUAUGUCAUUAUAUUAGAUAUUAUAGCGGUUACAAUAUUUUAAUAGUAUGCAAUAUGUAUGUGUGAAGGGUGGAUAGAAGUAUGUAGUUUUAUUUAUUUUUGUUAUAUUCGACUUAGAAUUAGGACUGAUCCAUAAUAAUAGGUAAUAUCGUUUGUAUAUUUUUAAAAGUAUAAUGUCCAUUUAUUACUAUCAUCAUAAAGUUCAUGAAUUGCAAAUAUAGUAAAUUCGACAUAUUUGCGUUGGUCACAUUAACACUAAAUCUACCGAUAAUUUUUUAUAAAUGUAUUUUUCACUUUAAAAGAUCCAAAUGACCCG
Cephus cinctus (wheat stem sawfly) is the source of this 2107-nucleotide long non-coding RNA. RefSeq lists it as uncharacterized. The record is from RefSeq and is a predicted model, not a curated record. NCBI's taxonomy places the organism in Eukaryota, Metazoa, Arthropoda, Insecta, Hymenoptera, Cephidae. The transcript has 3 exons.